This 250-nucleotide long non-coding RNA is filed under the name Homo sapiens (human). Its description in RNAcentral is "non-protein coding lnc-FBXO33-1:1". The record is from RNAcentral. Lineage: Eukaryota; Metazoa; Chordata; Mammalia; Primates; Hominidae.
GUAACCAAUGGCCAAAGCUGGAACAAUGAUGCUUGCUCUUUUGCUCCUUCUUGAAAUCUAGCCACCAUGCUAUGAGGCCACCCAAGCAGCCAAGUGGAGAAUCGUGGUCGUGAAUGUCAGCCCAGCUGCCAGUUGAGUCUCCAGAUGACUGUAGCUCCCCACCACCCCAUCACCCCAUCUCACACUACAUGAAACAAAAGAACAAGCCAGUCAACCUACUGAAUCAUGAAGAGUAAUAAAUUGAUGUUUU